GGCCUACCAUGGUGGUAACGGGUAACGGGGUGUUAGGGCACGACACCGGAGAGGGAGCCUGAGAAACGGCUACCACAUCCAAGGAUGGCAGCAGGCGCGCAAAUUACCCAAUCCCGACACGGGGAGGUAGUGACAAUAAAUAACAAUACGGGGCCCUUUCGGGUUUCGUAAUUGGAAUGAGUACAAUUUAAAUCUCUUAACGAGGAACAAUUGGAGGGCAAGUCUGGUGCCAGCAGCCGCGGUAAUUCCAGCUCCAAUAGCGUAUAUUAAAGUUGUUGCAGUUAAAAAGCUCGUAGUUGAAUUUCGGGAUUAGUACGUCGGUCGUGCCUUAGGUACGUACUGGUGUUACUGGUUCCUACCUUCUGACGAACCAUCAUGUCAUUAAUUUGGUGUGGUGGGGAAUCAGGACUGUUACUUUGAAAAAAUUAGAGUGUUUAAAGCAGGCUCGCGCUUGAAUACAUUAGCAUGGAAUAAUGAAAUAGGACGUUGAUCCUAUUUUGUUGGUUUCUAGGAUUGACGUAAUGAUUAAAUAGGGAUAGUUGGGGGCAUUAGUAUUCAAUUGUCAGAGGUGAAAUUCUUGGAUUUAUUGAAGACUAACUACUGCGAAAGCAUUUGCCAAGGAUGUUUUCAUUAAUCAAGAACGAAAGUUAGGGGAUCGAAGACGAUCAGAUACCGUNGUAGUNUUAACCAUAAANUAUGCCGACUAGGGAUCGGAUGAUGUUAUUUUUAAUGACUCAUUCGGCGCCUUACG
This 751-nucleotide ribosomal RNA is filed under the name uncultured Glomus. RNAcentral's name for it is "SSU rRNA". It matches the Rfam family "Eukaryotic small subunit ribosomal RNA", at positions 338 to 1092 of the family's 1831-position model. Lineage: Eukaryota; Fungi; Glomeromycota; Glomeromycetes; Glomerales; Glomeraceae. The record is from RNAcentral.